This 324-nucleotide ribosomal RNA is filed under the name uncultured eukaryote. RNAcentral's name for it is "partial 18S ribosomal RNA". It matches the Rfam family "Eukaryotic small subunit ribosomal RNA", at positions 1470 to 1796 of the family's 1831-position model. The record is from RNAcentral.
CCCUUAGAUGUUCUGGGCCGCACGCGCGCUACACUGAUGCAUUCAACGAGCUUCUUCCUGGUCCGAGAGGAAUGGGUAACCUUUUGAAAAUGCAUCGUGAUAGGGAUAGACUAUUGCAAUUAUUGGUCUUCAACGAGGAAUUCCUAGUAGACGUAGUUCAUCAGACUGCAUCGAUUACGUCCCUGCCCUUUGUACACACCGCCCGUCGCUCCUACCGAUUGAAUGCUCAGGUGAGCCAUUCGGACUUUCAUCAUGCUGGUUUCCAGUUUUGAUGAAGGAAAGUCUUGCGAACCUUAUCAUUUAGAGGAAGGAGAAGUCGUAACA